UACGAAGGGGGCUAGCGUUGCUCGGAAUUACUGGGCGUAAAGGGCGCGUAGGCGGACAGUUUAGUCAGAGGUGAAAGCCCAGGGCUCAACCUUGGAAUUGCCUUUGAUACUGGCUGUCUUGAGUUCGGGAGAGGUGAGUGGAAUGCCGAGUGUAGAGGUGAAAUUCGUAGAUAUUGGGAAGAACACCAGUGGCGAAGGCGGCUAUCUGGACCGGUACUGACGCUGAGGUGCGAAAGCGUGGGGAGCAAACAGG
This 253-nucleotide ribosomal RNA is filed under the name uncultured bacterium. RNAcentral's name for it is "partial 16S ribosomal RNA". It matches the Rfam family "Bacterial small subunit ribosomal RNA", at positions 524 to 776 of the family's 1533-position model. The record is from RNAcentral.